CUAUGUGGUCGAUUUUAAAAUGCGAUAUCCCAGGACUAAGUAUCGCCGACCCUUUCGUUUAUUAAGCACAUGCGGAAGCAGUUAUAAAUUCCCAGACAAUAAUACAAUGAGAUAGAAAAGUAAGGCCAUAUUUUUCAUAUUGAAAUCCACAACCGAACCUUUAUACAUGGCAUAACUCAAAGUCUAUUCACAAGACUAUUCAUAACAUUCUAGUUACACUCUAUAUACACAACACAAGGUUCACAAAAGAGGAUGGGAUCUCAAUCCUCAUUCGGGUCGUACUCAAGAUCAUCCUGAUUUUCUUCUGACUCUUCUUCACUAAGCUCACAUCCUUCAAGCUCUUCAUCUUUUACCGGCUCAUCGUCCUCUUCUAGUUCCUUCUUCACAGGCUCACCUAUGGGCCUGAAAUGUUGUCCCACAACCGGGAUGAGAUUACGUCUCAGCAAAUUCUACCCCACUAAGACUCGAUUAGGAAACCAAUACGCUAUCCAGGUUGCCUAUACACGCACGGAUCAGAGGACUUACCUUGGCCUUAGACUCCACCUGCAUAUUAGCACAGUUUAAUAGGCACUCAAUAGUCACAUCGCAGAUUGAAGCGUCAAUCAAAUCGACCUAGUCGAUUACAUGUCAUUCGAACCAUCGCAAGGUCAUUUCCACUCAAUCAAUCAAUUCACAACAUCAGAUCAAAUCAUUGAUCAAUCGACUUAGUCGAUUACAUGACAACAAGACUACUCAUCAGUCAUUUUAGUCAUUCCAUUUCAUCUUCUUCCUAACAGCUCAAUGAGCCUAGCUUAUCGAUUUCUUGGCUAUAAAUCCCGGUCCUAAAGGACACAACUUAUUUAUAGGUGGUAAUCACGGCCCCACCAAGCAAUUUUCUUAGAUUUAGUGGUAUCACGGCCCCACUCGGCAGCUUUCAAUAUUUAGUGGCAUCACGGCCCCACUCAGCAAUUGUAUAUGUAGUGGCAUCACGGCCCCACUCGGCAAUUAUGUAUGUAGUGGCAUCACGGCCCCACUCGGCAAUUUAUAUGUAGUGGCAUCACGGCCCCACUCGGCAAUUAUGUAUGCAGUGGCAUCAUGGCCCCACUCGGCAAUUAUGUAUGUAGUGGCAUCACGGCCCCACUUGGCAAUUAUCUAUUAAACUCACAACCUCACACGGUUAUUUUCCUUUCAAAUAACGACACCUCUUAAUUUUGGGACAUAUUCCCAUAUUCACCAAUCUUACUCAACUUUCUCAAUUUUCCGUAAUUCACCAAUCAAUUAAACACUGACAACCAAUACUCGGUUGUUCUUCGAUCAAUUACUCAAAAUCAACUCAUUUAGGAAUAUAUUCUAAAAAAUCCAUAAUUUAUUCAAUUCAACACAAUGUAGAAUUCAAUUAAAUAAACGCACUGCACCACGACGAUCAGCAUAGAAUUUCGGUCGUCGGCUAUCCUUGCCUAAUUUCCGAAAAAUAAAUAAUUAAAUAAUUAAUUUCGAAAAUUAAUAAAUAAAUACGACAAAUCCAAUUUAGGCCCGAAAUGCCUAAUUGAAGCCCGAUAAGGGUCGGGAAAAAUCCCGAGAUGCAUUCAAUAAAUAAUAGUAUGUCUCUACUUGCUAAUGACUAAGUCUAACCACCUAGCAUGCAUCAUUAAGUCACUAAUUUAAUUGUUCUAAACUAAUCUAACCACCUAAUUGCACUUAAUUAAAUCUAAUCAACCCUUAAGCAUCAUUAGUUUACUAAGCAAGGAUUGGUGAGAUUACUCACUUGAUUAAAAGCGGAGACCAAAUCACCACGACGGUGACGCGACGGCGCGACAACGGCCAAAAUCCGAAUUUUCGGUGACGUCGAGGAUCACUCGGGCUGGGCCAAGUUACUUUGCAAGCCCAUAGAAAUAUCUGGGUUCAGACUAAACUUGGGCCAAACUUGGGCCAACUUGCUUCGCGGGCUGAACUGCUAAACUUCUUGGGCUUCAAGUGGGCUGGAAUUGGACCAUCUGUUGGGCCAAAGCUUGGCUGAGUUGUGGACUUCAAUGGAGCUGGGCUACACUUGAGCUGAAGACGGGCCGGUUUCUUGGGCUGCUUUGGCGGAUGAAGUGGCAGCGUGAGAUGGCGCCAAUUCGGUGGGCCUUCGAGCAGCUGAAGUCUUCGUUGGGGUUUUGACCGAGAGAAGCAGCGAAGGUGGAGAGGAACAUGGACUGGCUUCGUGGUAGGGCUUCGCUGGCUUCGCUGGCUUCAUGAGCGGAAGACACGGCCAAAGUUAAUUUCGGUGGAUGCUGCUGGAGGUUGACUGAACAUGUGGCAGCAAGAUGGAGCGGCUCCAAUGGACGUUGGCCGAAUUGUGGGCGUGGAAGAAGAAGCAGCUUUAGCUUCGGUGGAGAGAACGAUGGAGCAGCAGGCGUGGCGCACGGAGAAGCUUCACGGUCAAUGAUGGGGCUUCGCUUGAAGUUUAGUUGACCCGGACGUGGCAGCUUGGAGAGAAAAACUCGGUGGGAAUUGCUUCGGUGGAGGCGUUGUUGAUGCACGAAGACGAUGGGCGAGCUGGCAAGCGGUCGCCGAUGUUGAGGUUGGAGGCGUGGAUGUGAUGCAGAGGCUUCGGUGGAUGGUGAAUGGGCAGACGGUGGAGAGACAAGAAGAAAAUGAAAGCGAAGUAGCACACGGAAGAGAAGAAGUCGACGCUGCGGUGGGUGUGCGGCUGAGAGAGUCCGAAUGAAGGGGGGCUGAAUCGUGUGAUGGAAGCCAGCUAUGAGGGAAAUAUAG
Molecule: long non-coding RNA, 2736 nt
Filed under: Eucalyptus grandis
Lineage: Eukaryota; Viridiplantae; Streptophyta; Magnoliopsida; Myrtales; Myrtaceae
Description: long non-coding RNA (EGRA_LNC000223)
Source: RNAcentral